Condylura cristata (star-nosed mole) is the source of this 398-nucleotide long non-coding RNA. RefSeq lists it as uncharacterized. The transcript has 6 exons. The record is from RefSeq and is a predicted model, not a curated record. NCBI's taxonomy places the organism in Eukaryota, Metazoa, Chordata, Mammalia, Eulipotyphla, Talpidae.
CUUUGCGUCGGCCGCCGGCCGGGCAGGUGGGCCAAGGCUGCGGGCGUCACGCGAUCUCGGUAGAAGUGCGCGGAGUAGGUUCUAAUUACAUUGCCUACUGGUUGUUUUCUGAAGCUCAAGGAGAUGCCCGUGAGAGAAUGUUCAAGUAGAUGACCUUGAAGUCUUAGAGAGCUGUGAUAAGAAGACAUCGAAAUAAUUCCAUUCCUGAAGCAAUGAUUAAAAUAUCAUUAUGAUUUCAACAGAAAAACUUUAAGCUUCGUUGGAUUCCCACAUCAAAGAAAAGUUCUAAGCUUUCAGAACGAGUUCUUGCUUGAAGAGAAAGACCAACUUGCUAACCACGGAAGAGUUGAUACUAAGCUCUUAAUUGUACUUCCUAAAGUUGCAGAAUUAAGAAAAAU